AUUCAACAAUGUUUUGAGUUUUUUUCCCCCAUCCGCUGAAGAUGCAUGGACAGGAAAAGAGAGAAGAAAACUGUAGGUGUAGCUUUUCUGAAUAGAAAACUGCUGCCCGUAUCAUCAGCAGGUGAGCAAUCCUGUCAUCGUCCUCCACGUGCAAGCAAGCUUAUAUACCAAUGGUCCCUAGAUUACACAGUACUUACUAAUUGACACUGUGAUCUGGAAUUCAAAAUUUCAAACCAUCCGAAUGACUACUUAAAGACACGAUCAAGAGAAGAAGUUAUUCGUUUGAUUUUUUUAUCAUAAGUUGACCGACUCGAUUUAUUUAAAAAAUAUCAUAAUUAUCAUUAAUUUUUAACAUGAUAUUGUUUAGCAUAUAAUAUAUUUUAAGUAGGCUUUGAAUUUUUUUUAUUUUUUUAAAUAAGAUUAGCCGAUUAAAUUGACAAAAAAGUCUAAUAAAUUAUAAAUCGGGACCGUGGAAAUAUUAAUUAACUGCAAAGUAAAAAUAGAGAGUAAUCGGUUUUGUACGGGGCAAGAAGCAAAUGAGAUUUCAAAUGGAACGGCGUGAUGUUUUACAACUGCAAGGAGAGGCAGCCACCCGGCCCCACGUCCAUCCCUAAAACAUCGCCACGUUCCGCCUGCGCCACCCCCCAAUGUCCGUGGCCACCGGAGGCGGCGGCGUCCACCACCACCGAGUCCAAUGCCCAAGUCCCACUACGCCGCUUCCCCACCCCCGCACCCGCCGCCGCUCCUCCCGCUCGCGCUCGUCCCGCCGCGGCAGUGCCCGCUCGUCGCGGCCCUGCUGGCGCUGCUCUCGGUGCUGCUUGCCACCGCGCUCUGGCUCCUCCUCGUGCUCUCCCCGUCCCAGGGGGCUACCCCCGCCGCCUCCGAGCGCUCGGUGCUGCCGGAUGCGGGAGCGGCCGCGGCCGCGGGCCCCGGCGCCGCCUCGCCCCUCUCGCUCGGCCACAUCGUCUUCGGCAUCGCGGGGUCGGCGCAUCUCUGGCCGCGCCGCCGCGAGUACGUCCGCCUGUGGUGGGACCCCGCCGCGAUGCGCGGCAACGUCUGGCUCGACGCGGGCGCGCCCGCCGCGCCGGGGCCUAGCGCCCCCUGGGAGGGCUCCCUCCCGCCGAUCCGGGUGUCCGAGGACACCUCGCGCUUCAGGUACACCAACCCCACGGGCCACCCGUCGGGGCUCCGGAUCGCGCGCAUCGCCGCCGAGGCCGUCCGGCUCGUCGGCAGAGGGGCGGGCGCGCGCUGGCUCGUGCUCGUCGACGACGACACCGUGCUGUGCGCGGACAACCUCGUCGCCGUGCUCAGCAAGUACGACUGGACGGAGAUGGUGUACGUCGGGGCGCCGUCCGAGAGCCACUCCGCCAACACCUACUUCAGCCAUAGCAUGGCUUUCGGAGGUGGCGGCGUCGCGCUCAGCUUUCCGCUCGCCGCUGCACUCGCGCAGACGCUCGACGUGUGCAUCGAGAGGUACCCCAAGCUGUAUGGAAGCGACGACCGCCUCCAUGCCUGCAUCACGGAGCUCGGCGUUCCCCUAUCCCGCGAAUACGGAUUCCACCAGUGGGAUAUCAGAGGCAAUUCUCAUGGGUUAUUGGCAUCUCAUCCAAUUGCUCCUUUCAUCAGUAUCCACCAUGUGGAGCUUGUGGACCCCAUAUACCCUGGAUUGAACUCUCUUGAGAGUCUGGAGCUGUUUACAAAGGCUAUGAAAAUGGAACCCAUGAGCUUCCUGCAGCGUUCAAUUUGUUACGAUCAAAGCCAAAAGCUUACAUUUGCUAUCUCGUUGGGCUAUGUUGUUGAAGUAUAUCCCAAUGUUCUUCUUCCGCGUGAUUUGGAGCGAUCACAACGUACUUACGUUGCUUAUAAUAGGAUGAGUCAGAGAAAUGAAUUUGAUUUUGACACUAGAGAUGUCCAGAAAUCUUUGUGCAAGAAGCCGAUCUUAUUUUUCUUGAAGGAUGUCUGGAAGGAUGGAAACAUAACUAGGGGAUCUUAUGCACGAUCAAGUGCUAGGGAUGACCUCAAAAGAAAGGUGUUCUGCUUCCGGUCACCCCCUUUACCUGACAUAGAUGAGAUCCAAGUUUCCUCGUCUCCAUUAAGCAAGCGCUGGCAUCUGGCACCAAGAAGGUUGUGCAGUGCACUUAAAGGAUCUAUUGAUGGUACUCUGUUUAUGUUUGUUCAGCAAUGUGGACGUGGGACUUUUGGUUCAGCUUCUGAUUCCUUAUGACAUGGGAAAUAGAGAUGUAUAUUUUCUGUUCAGAUGAUACCUGGAAGAUGUAGUUACCACCCUACAUUCUUUGAGUCAAGUAUAAUUGGGGCUCUUUUUCUGCCUCAAACGCUUGACAGUAGCCAACUGUUUGUUAUAAUUGGUAGUUACUGAAGGGCAUCUACUACCAAGAACAGAUUAAGUGAGCCAUCAUUCGUGGGCUAAUAUUUUUAACAACUUCAAGUUCAACAUGAAUAAAAUGAUGCAGUGAUGAGAGUUGUCUCAUUGAGUCACUAGGUCGCAUAUUUGAUGUAGCCUCUCCAGAUUUGCAGGGGAAGGCUUGCCUAGGUUUAUCCUUUUCCUAGACCUCACUCAUGUGGGAGCCUCUGGCACUGGGUCUGCCCCAAGUUCAACAUUAAUGAGAUAUGGAAAUGAUAUGUAAUAAAGUUAACAACUAUUUCAUUUUUACUUGGGAAAAGCCUUGUGUCAGGCAGGCACCCUAGUUACUGGAGUUCCAAGCUAAUUUCAUGUGCACAUUGUUAAUUUAAUGACCAUGAUUGUCCUUAAUGUUCUAUUUUCAUACCUUACUUUCAGAAUUAUACACACUUCUUACACAGUUUCCUUCUGUUGCCUAAUUCAACAUGAUACAAAAUGAAUGACUCUCAUAUUAGUUAUGGCAACAUGUGCCUUUAAUAGAGUGCCAUAAUAACUUUUUUUACUAUUUUGCUGAUUUUCUGAAUUCUGAAAGAUGGUGUUGUUAUUUUUAAUGAUUCUGCACAAAGACAUUCUGUUUGUACAAUGUUACCAUAACAAUCCUUGAACUUGACUCUUGCUCUUGGUAUGAGCAGGAUAUGCCUUCGUUUCCAAUUUUCUUUGACUUUCCUUUGCCAGUGAUACUUAUCUACUUGUUCUAUUGAAGGAAGCAAAGGUCUUUGGGGGUUUACACAAAUUAAUUAAUCCUUUUAGUUAGAAGGAUAAAACUUCUUUGUUUUAAACCAUAGAGUCAGUUCAAGCCUCAUUUUUCCUUUGCACGAAAUAUGAUUCUGAAGGGAUAUAUAGAUGUGCAUGUUGCUAAAAAGGUGGAAGGUAACAUAAAAUAACAGUAUGCUUGCUGAUUGGAGAGAAGGGAUUCAUUUUGUUCACAGAAUAAUUGUUUGGCUUCUAUAAUUCCUCUGGUGUCUUAAACUAGGUUAAUGUAUUGUAUUGUUGUAGGGUUAUAGGAGGCUGAGUCACUGUGAGAGCAACUCCAUCAUGGCCCCAACUUGAGCCCUCAUAGCUAAAUAUAGGUGCCCAGACCAAAAACACAACUCCAGCAUGGCCCUUACUAGAGCCCUCAAAUUUGGGUGGCCACCCAAAUCCUCCCUCUAGCACUCAAACGAUGGUUCAAGGCUUGAAGCCAACACCUUCUCAACCCGCCCCAUCAUCCUCGUUGAAGGCCUCUUCGAUCUCCUCGUCGGCCAACUCAACGCCCGGCGCAACGGCAAUGAGGUAGGCGAUAGCUGGCGUGGAGGAGUGGCACGACGCGAGUUGAUGAAGAGAGGAGCGGCACGGGUGGGUGGGGGACGUGGAGGAGCUGUGUGGCUCCUGGAGUCGCCUGGUACCCGUCGCGAUGGUAGAGACUUAGAGAUAGGUGCGAGUGGUAGGCGGUAGCUGGCGCAGCGUGGGUGGAUGAGGAGAGGAGCGAAGCGGAGCGAAUGGAUGAGGAGCAACACGGCUCCUCCUGGUAGUGUCUGGUCUCCUCCCUCGAUGGAAGUGUACCUCCUGUGGUGGUUGGUAGGUGACUCUGCCUUUGCUCGCAUAAAUACUGAUGAGACUGAGGAUGGGAAGAACAAAGAAUGACAAGCGAGCCCUUUGUGUCAGUGUUCAUCAAAUAUUAUUUAAGCCGAUAUAAAAACUUAAACUGGGGGGGGGGGGGUAAGACAACUCCUAGGUAUUGCAUUAAAAAGAUGGUUUUCUCACGCAGGUCGAGAAAACUUCCAAACCUCAGCCCCACUCAUACACAACACCACAACCUAUGUGAGAACGACCACUAGUAGGCCCAGGCCUUAGACAUGUGAUUUGGCGUGAGAUAGGUGGUGGAACUUUUUUAACCCUAGCUGAGUUGAAUCCAGGACAUGAGUGCUACUCAAGCCACCGUCUCAACUUGAGGCCUUUUCGCUGCUGGAAUAGAUGUAAAAAACCAAAUCCUAAAUUAUAUUUUUGUGUUUUUGGCCAAUAAGGCAGCUUUCUUGUAUUGGUCCAUUUGGGGCCUAACUCUUCCUUCUUAAUAUAAUGAUGCGCAGCUCUUCUACCCGUUCGAGAAAAAAAAUUAUGUGACAGUUCCCUCAAAUCAAAAGUAGGGGCCUUGAUUUGAGUUUUUUUUUUGCUGGAGUUGCUCUGAUAGUAAAUGAUUGCUUUGCAUGAAUCUAGUCGAAUCCAUGCGUUUGUCCUCCAAAGCUGAUCACGGGUCUAGUUAACAGUCAUAUUGAUGAUCAAAAGUUUCAUGGGCAGAAUUUGGGGAAAAUGUUUAUAUUAUUUCAAUCAUUUGGUCAUAAAUUUUACUGUUAGUGGAAAAAUGAUUUAUUAACCUGAAAGUUCUGCACUGAAGUUCAUCUUCUUCUUUAGUGCAUGUCCCCAAUAUUGAAUAGCAUGUACAAGGUUCCUUUUCUUAAGCUCAACACCUAUAAGUUUAAACCUAUAGAAGCAGCUAGAGAAAAAAAACAUAAAAGCCCAAUCAUGGAGAUAGUUUCUUGGUUAGAAGAUUGCUAGUCAAUUUUCUGUUAUCUGCAGGUACUCCCUCCGUUUUUUAUUUGUCGUGUUUUAGUUCAAAAAUGAACUAGUGAGCGAUAAAUAUUGAGAUAGUAUAUUUUUUCAAAUACCGUGUUUGCUGGAAAGUGUUCACAAUCACAUUAGUGCAUGGAAUCUGAACCAUAAAAGGACCACUUUAGAAAUCUUAUAUGCCUGCUAGAUCAAGAUUUGUUUUCCUAUUGUAUUUUGGGAUUUCCAAAGACUUCCAUCUUGAUCAAAUUAUAAUUUGUAAAAGAAAUAAAUAUUUUUUUUUAAAAAAAUGUCCAUCAUUGGUUGAAAAAAUUCAAAGGAAAAGCCAAAAUGCUGCAUUAACAUUAGUUACGUAACUGAGAUCAAGUAUUUGGAAACAUUUUCUUCUGUAACAAGAUCUUCCAAGAUUUGUGUGCAUGUGUUGGUGCUAACUGUUUCAUUUAAAUGCCUUUUUUUUUCCUUUCAUGUUUCCACGUAAUGUUUGCCAUAGUCUGUGUUUCAUGCUGUGCUUGCAUACAUGCAAAUCUGUUAGCGAAGUUGUGUGGUGUCUUGAUUUAAGUGGAAAAUCUGCUAAAAGUGUACAAUUUGCCAAAUCGACUUGAACUUUCUGAAAUUGCCUUUUGUAGCAGUUGCUGACAGAAGAAACUUUGCAGAAAAGACAGGCUGGAAAUUUUCGCUUUGGAAUCUCUGUGGUUGGUGUCUGAUACUUGGAGACUGAGGCCUAGUGAAGAGAUCUUUGACUAAAGCUGCGCCGCUAUGGUUGGCUGAGAACUAACUAUCUGGUUUCAUCCUGGUGACCAGUUUACUCACCUUCGUGGAUUCUCCAUGAGUUGUGCGAAAUCAGGUAAGGAUAGUAAUAUGUUAGUCGUAGGUUUUAGUGCUGUGAUCCUGUAACCCUUCAUUGUUCGUACCCUUCCCGUCCUGUGCCUUCUCAUGUGAAAUGGAGCAUUAACCAAAGAGUCGCUGUGGAUUUCAGUCAGGAUCCAGUAUAAUAGUUGAACGAUUGACUUUAGAAUUUGGAGUUAAACAGUCCUAGAUUCAUCCACACCUGUUCGAACUCCGGUGGAAGGUUUUCCGAUUUCUAGGGGAAUUUAACCAUUUCUUCACUUUGAUGUGAAAUUUCAACGAGCUGGACAGAACUGGCCUUCUCUUUAAGUUGUAUCUUCAUCUAGUGUAUUUUUUUAAUAAUAAUUCGUCUGGUGUUGAAGUCA
This is an RNA transcript of Zea mays, 6171 nucleotides long. It is a transcript of the gene named fringe-related protein, with no coding region annotated. The record is from RefSeq and is a predicted model, not a curated record. Lineage: Eukaryota; Viridiplantae; Streptophyta; Magnoliopsida; Poales; Poaceae. The transcript has 4 exons.